This 791-nucleotide long non-coding RNA is filed under the name Danio rerio (zebrafish). RNAcentral's name for it is "lncRNA si:ch211-284a16.4 (ENSDARG00000098768.2)". Lineage: Eukaryota; Metazoa; Chordata; Actinopteri; Cypriniformes; Danionidae. The record is from RNAcentral.
AAGUUGCGUAUCGUCAUCGUGUCAAUGGCGUCCUAAAAUGUUUGGGGAUAAUGCUGUUCUAUGACGGAUUGAAGGUCGUUUUAUUUCGCGAACGAAGACGGAAAUGUUUUACCUGAGGAUUGGAGCAGGGUUUUAGUGUUUUCUCUUGCCAUUUGAAGCGAGAAACACAUUUUACUGUGAAGAAAUGAACCGACUGGAACCGAAUGCGGUUUGAUGCUUCUUGCCUGAAACAGUUGCCGCUCCUCAGGAUCAGGAUUGUAAUUGAAUCACAAGCCAUGGAUGUGAGGAACUCAGGCGGUCUGAUCUGGUGCUUUGGCUGAGUUCACAUCUCUGGCAUCAUCUUCAUCCUCCUCCUCCUCCUCCUCCUCUCCAUGAAGGAACCAGGUGCUAAAGGAAGGUCAAACAAUCACAGGCCUCGGAAAAUACCCUUCUGUGUGUCACACAAUAUGAGCAUCUACAGGUUACGGUUGGCGUCAUCAUUAGCAGGUCUGUGUCAGCCAGCAGCCCAGAGGGAGUUCAGAGAGGACCUGAGCUGUGAGAUGAGGUGAAAGCAGCCCAUAUUCCCUCAGUGACGGAGCGGCAAUUACCCCAAACUGUGAGUGCGUCCUCCUACCGGCCGCAGGAACAAUGGACUGUCUGUCAGUGGCGGUGUUGCCCAAGCAGAACAGAUGUGUGUGGACACGCGAGACAAUGGCGUGGCUGGAUAAGUGGGUUCCUGAUCUCCGAGGCAGGGGGGUCGGGGGGGACGGCAGCUUGUGUCCGAGACGCCUCCGUGGGGCGAGGGAGAAAUC